UCGGACAUGGAAAUGAACCAGGGUCUAGAAGUUCCUAAAAUUGGCAUUUUGUGAUUCUUUUCAUUUUAAACUCUAUUUUCGUGUCUUCCUUUGGUUCCAGCCCCCAGCAGAUGAUGAGCAUCCGAGCUGACUUCCCUUGCAACUGUGAAGACCCAGUUGCUCACUGAGGACUACUCAGGCUGUUUGCUCAGGAAAGAGCUGGCUUAGGCCUCAUCAUAUCCUGAUGUACUGGGAAUGGUGCUGCAGACCUAGACUUCCAUUAUUCUGUUCUCCAAGCAGGAAGCACACUAC
This 291-nucleotide long non-coding RNA is filed under the name Rattus norvegicus (Norway rat). RNAcentral describes it as "long non-coding RNA NONRATT031572". The record is from RNAcentral. Lineage: Eukaryota; Metazoa; Chordata; Mammalia; Rodentia; Muridae.